AUGUUGAGUUGGGUCUGGCAGAUCCUACGCGGUGAGGGAGGCCUAUGGCUUCAGCUCAUCCGCGCAAAAUACCUUAGUGAGCCCCUCCUAGCAUGCUCACGGACAGGAGGAUCAUAGUUUUGGCACUCCAUCCAGCGGAUUAAGGAGGAAAUCCGCCUAGGGAUUUCCUUCUCCAUAGGUAAUGGGGACGGGACCCAAUUCUGGCGGGAACCCUGGUUGGGUACCUAGCCGCUGCGCGUGAGUUUCCUUGGGUUGUUCUCAAUCUGCACGGACUCGUCCGCUCUUGUCUCCUCGGCGCUCCGCGCUGGACAGUGCAAUAUCCACUUAUGUCGUACUUUUGGGCAAGCGGAGAGUGACGAUUGGUCUGGACUUCGGGCUGCCUUAUCACUGGUGCUUUCGGAAUAUUUAGACACUGUGUCAUGGAGGGUCACCCCGACGGCGGAGUUUUUGGUGAGCAUGGCCUACCAUGCCCUAUGCUAG
RNAcentral lists this ribosomal RNA (480 nucleotides) under Triticum aestivum (bread wheat). RNAcentral describes it as "partial small subunit ribosomal RNA". The record is from RNAcentral. Lineage: Eukaryota; Viridiplantae; Streptophyta; Magnoliopsida; Poales; Poaceae.